RNAcentral lists this unclassified non-coding RNA (194 nucleotides) under soil metagenome. Its description in RNAcentral is "partial contains 5.8S ribosomal RNA, internal transcribed spacer 2, and large subunit ribosomal RNA". The record is from RNAcentral.
AACGCACGAGACCUGCGGACCUGCGGAGGGAUCAUUACCGAGUUAUCCAACUCCCAACCCCUGUGAAUCAUACCUUUAAUUGUUGCUUCGGCGGGACUUCGCGCCCGCCGGGGACCCAAACCUUCUGAAUUUUUUAAUAAGUAUCUUCUGAGUGGUUAAAAAAAAUGAAUCAAAACUUUUAACAAUGGAUCUCU